AUGGAGCUGGGAGCGCGGCGCCGGCGCAGGCGGCGGAACCGCGGACCGGUGAGUGCGGGCUGCGGCCAGCGGUCCCUGGCCUUGACCCCUGUCCUGCUCGGCUGCAGGCCGGGAGGCUGCCCCGCGGGGAGAGGCGGGCGCGGGCCUGGCCCCGCAACCCUGCGCCAAGUGAACUUGCAGCAUGCCCGGGCGCUCGGCGGGGCCCACUGCGGCCGCGCCGCCGCCUGCGCCUGCCCUGCAGCCCGGCGCAUCCUCCCACCGGCUCCCGCGCCGGCCUGGACUUCCCGCCGUCGCCGCGCGGCCCGGCGCCGUUCUCGCCACUGCCGGCCCCUGGCCCACGGCCUUCAGCCCCGGCACUGCCCGGUGCGCGCCGCUCGGCUGCCGGGCAGGCGCCCACCAUCCGGGCCGCAGGUGGCGCCGGGGCCUCGGCCCGCGCCGCACGGUCGAGCCCGGGGCUGCCCCGCGUCCGGGAGCCUCGAGUUCCUCUGGGCUGCGCGCGCCCUCGCCGCAUCUGGCCCAGUCCUCGCGUACCCGCCGCCCGGGUCGGGCCCUCUCCCCUCGGUUUCGCCCUCCACGCCCGAUGCCCCCUCCCUGGGGCUGCGGGCUCGCGGGGUCCGGGCCUCGGCAGCCUGGCUGGGCUCCGAGUGCCUGAAGGGGUCGGCAGCCCGCGAGAGGCGGGGCGCGGGGACGGGGUGCGCGCCGGGACCACCUGGCCGGGAUGCGUCCUCUCGGGGAUGCUCUCCCGGCGCGGCCGGUGGGGCCGCGGGGCCCGGCUCUCGCGCCUCCUCCGCGCCGGAGCUUCAGCGAGUGGAAAGCCUUUACCUCUCCGUGUGCGGUGCUUACGGGCAAUGGCGAUUUCUUCUUGUUCCAGCCUCCCUGCAAGGGAUGGUUCCCUGGUGGAGAGCACAGUUCUUAAUUAUUAAGAAACUAAGCCGUGGGCUCACGGAUGAAUGGACCUUGCAUUUCUUAGCUGCUAUUGGGCGGAAUAGGAAUUCUUUCUCAUUUGGGGAUUAA
This 1014-nucleotide long non-coding RNA is filed under the name Sus scrofa (pig). RNAcentral describes it as "lncRNA (ENSSSCG00070010417.1)". Lineage: Eukaryota; Metazoa; Chordata; Mammalia; Artiodactyla; Suidae. The record is from RNAcentral.